RNAcentral lists this ribosomal RNA (1326 nucleotides) under Lyreidus brevifrons. RNAcentral's name for it is "16S ribosomal RNA". The stretch from base 569 to 1326 matches the Rfam family "Archaeal large subunit ribosomal RNA", at positions 1423 to 2862 of the family's 2987-position model. Lineage: Eukaryota; Metazoa; Arthropoda; Malacostraca; Decapoda; Lyreididae. The record is from RNAcentral.
GUCUGUAUAACUUGUUUGUGUGUAAUGAUGUUUAAAUAAUAAAGGAAAAAUAAUUUAGUUAUUUUAAAAAUUAGUAUAGAUUAUAAAAAUUAGGAAAAGAAGGCAAUAGUGGAAAAGUAUUGUAAAAGAAAGAUUAAAAAUAUAAGUAGAAAAGAUAGAAAUUAUAAAAAUUUGUACCUCGGGUAUCAGGGAAAACUAAAAUAUAUUAAUUAAUUUAAUAUUCUCGAAAUAAAAACAGUUAAUUUAAUAAAAAGUUUUUGUUUUAAAAAAAUUUUAAAUAUUAUAUUAAAGAUGAAAUAUCAGUCGAGUUUUAAUAUCUAGUUCUUUGGAAAUGAAUAUAAUUCUAUUUUUACUUAAUCUAAAGUAAAAAUUAAGAGCAGAAGGGUAGAGCUUUUUGUUCAAAAAAUAAUAAGUUAUGGGUGAAUAGAUUUAUUAAAUUUUUACUAAGCUUAAAAGUAGCUAUGUUUAUAAAGUGUUCUACCUCAUAUUAUUGAAAAUAAUAUUUCUUUAAUUCUAAUUAAUUACUAGAGUAUUAUAUGAAAUAAAAAUAUAUAAGAGAUAAUAGUUUUAUUAGUAUAAUUUAUUAUAAAUAUUCAAAUUAAAAUCAUCAUUAAUACAUAAAAGAUAAGUGGUAUUACCCGGAAUUCGGGAAAUAUAUUUCUCCCCGUUUAUCAAAAACAUGUCUGUUUGCAGAUAUAAAGAGUCUAACCUGCCCGCUGAUUGAAUAUUGAAGGGCCGCGGUAUUCUGACCGUGCAAAGGUAGCAUAAUCAUUAGUCUUUUAAUUGGAGGCUUGUAUGAAUGGUUGGACAAGGGAAUUUCUGUCUCUAUAAUAAUUUUAAAAUUUGACUUUUAAGUGAAAAGGCUUAAAUGAUUUAGGGGGACGAUAAGACCCUAUAAAGCUUUACAUUUAAUUAAUUUAAAUUGAAUUAUAAGUAAAAUGAUAUAAAUUAAUAUUAUGUUGUGUUGGGGCGACAAGAGUAUAAAUAAAUUUAACUGCUUUUUGGUAAUACAUUUAUAUAUGUUUAUGGUGGGUUAAUGAUCCUCUUUAGGGAUUUAAAGAUUAAGUUACUUUAGGGAUAACAGCGUUAUUUUCUUUGAGAGUUCUUAUCGAAAAGAGAGUUUGCGACCUCGAUGUUGAAUUAAAAUUUCUAUAUAGUGCAGCAGCUGUAAUAGAAGGUCUGUUCGACCUUUAAAUUUUUACAUGAUUUGAGUUCAGACCGGUGUGAACCAGGUUGGUUUCUAUCUCCUAAAAAUUAUAAAGUUAGUUUAGUACGAAAGGAUUAAUUAACUGAAAAAGUUUCGAUAAAAGAAUAACUAAUAAAUUU